CUGGAUCUCCGUGUAGGGCCCCGGAGCCGGGGACGAGGUCAGGUUCCCUUGUUACCGCUGGGUGGAGGUCGACGGCGUCCUGAGCCUGCCUGAAGGCACCAGGGCGAGAAGAGGCGCUCACCAAAAGUCACUGGCCAAGCCCUCCUCUGGCCUUCUAGGCCGUACUGUGGGCGACGACCCUCGAGGCCUGUUCCAGAAACACCAGGAAGAGGAGCUGGAAGAGAGAAGGAAGUUGUACCGGUGAGCCCUCCUCCCCUGACCCCACGUGAGCUGCUGAUGCUUCCAGCACCCACGCCUGAUUUCCUUCCUGCCCUACAGAGCGCGUGCGGGACUCCUGGAAGGAAGAUGCCUUAUUUGGGUACCAGUUUCUUAAUGGCGCCAACCCCGUGGUGCUGAGGCGCUCUGCUCACCUUCCUGCUCGCCUAGUGUUCCCUCCAGGCAUGGAGGAACUGCAGGCCCAGCUGGAGAAGGAGCUGGAGGAAUCCGAGUGGGAAGAAGAUGCUUUAUGUUGAUAGCAGCCUUUGACCUCUUCCUGCACCCAGGGAGGCACAUUGUUCGAAGCUGACUUCUCCCUGCUGGAUGGGAUCAAGGCCAACGUCAGUCUCUGUAGCCAGCAGCACCUGGCUGCCCCUCUGGUCAUGCUGAAACUGCAGCCUGAUGGGAAACUCUUGCCCAUGGUCAUCCAGCUCCAGCUGCCCAGCACAGGAUCCCCACCACCUCCCCUUUUCCUGCCCACGGAUCCCCCAGUGGUCUGGCUUCUGGCCCAAUGCUGGGUGCGCAGCUCUGACUUCCAGCUCCGUGAGCUGCAGUCUCAUCUUCUGAGGGGACACUUGAUGGCUCAGGUCAUUGUUGUGGCCACCAUGAGGUGCCUGCCGUCGAUACAUCCUAUCUUCAAGGUAACACCUUAUCCCCUUCUCUCCUGUAUUCAGCUGAAUACUUGAUGGGGACCUUUGUUUCUCUAGAGUUCUCUUUCUGUACAACACCCUCAAUUUCAGCAUGCUGCCCUGUGAAUUCUGGCUGUAUUGGCCUCCCAGUACUGCCAGCUCUCUCUGUCCCCUUAACUCAGGAAGAUGAUAGGACUCUGCCAGGGUUGCUCCUCCCUACUCUGCAGCUGGAAAGCUUUCUCCAGGCAGUAAGCUGGGGCAAUUGUGGGGCCCACUUGUGUCUGUUUCUUCAGUUAUUUCAGGCAAGAGGGUAAAUCCAGUUCCUUACUUCACUCCAGCUGGAGGUCUCCUCCUCAUUAUUUUAUAUACGUUUUGUGGAAGAUUAACUUUACAAUUUAGUUUUUAGGUAACAGAAUAUUCAGACAGGACUGCGACUCCAUUCAUGGAGUAAUUAUCGUAGCUCAGAGAUGAAUAUUAUUACUCUCUCCCAGAGACGGAUGCAGUGACUUUUGGGACUUUGUGUGUCUCUUUUCUCAAGGAGAGACUAAUAGCAUCUUUAUUUCUAUGAAGAAUAGUUGCAUUGUGUUAGAUAGAAAAGAAUAUUUUAUUUUAUUUUAUUUUAUUUUAUUUUAUUUUAUUUUAUUUUAUUUUAUUUUAUUUUAUUUUUGAGACAGUCUCACUCUGUCAGCCAGGCUGGAGUGCAGUGGCACAACCUUGGCUCACUGCAACCUCUGUCUCCCAGGCUCAAGCAAUUGUCCUACCUCAGCCUCCCAAGUAGUUGGGAUUACAGGCGUGUGCUACCAUGUCUUGAACUCCUGACCUCAGGUAAUCUGCCUGCCUCAGCCUCCCAAAGUGCUGGGAUUACAGGUGUGAGCCACCACGCCUGGCCCAUUUUUUCUUUUGAGUAUGGAAGUUUAAAUAUAAAUGCUGAUUAACCAAUAGAACUGACUGUGGGAGUUAGGCUUCGCCCUUGGCUCCAACCCUCUACCUUCUAAAGUCAGCUUCCUGUCUAAGGCUAGGUCUCUGCAAACCAUAUUCCUGCCUUCUUACCUGGCUCCAUGUCGAGCUCACACCAGUAACUAAUUCACCCUGGUAGCAGAUGUUCCUUCCCUUAGUGGCAGCUGAAUCCACGUUGCAACUUUCUAAUGUUUGAAAAAGCUGCUUUAUUGCAUCCCUGCUCAGAAUACCAGCACCAGCCAACUGGCACCCCUUAUCAAAAGUCUGAGUUUCAGAUCUCCAGGGUCCCUCCUCCAAGUUUCUGAAGUUUUAAUAAUUCCAGGUUCUGUUCUUUCCUGUCUACUGGUAGGGUAGAGCAUCCUUUCAUACGCUUAUUACCCCUGUGGGUUUCUUUUUCUGUGACUUCUCUAUUCAUAUCUUUGCUCGUUUUGCUUCUUUCACGUCUUUUUCUUACUUGAGUCCUUUAAAUAUUCUGAAGACAAAUUCUCACUUAUUUGCAUUGCAACCAUAUUCUCAAAGUUUUUGGCUUGCCCCCAUCCUUUAAUUUUUUUUUUAAUUUCAGAAGACAGUUUCUCAGCUUUCACCAUGUGCCUUUAUCUUUCCUGGUUUCCAUCUCUGAUUUUAUUUUAUAAUGGCAACAAUGUGUUUCUGU
This is a long non-coding RNA of Homo sapiens (human), 2493 nucleotides long. The record is from Ensembl. Lineage: Eukaryota; Metazoa; Chordata; Mammalia; Primates; Hominidae.